CCACUGUCUUUUUCAGAGAUUACUACCUUCUUCAAUUGAAGGGAAUAUGUGCAUGUUCAUGCAUUAUUUUCACUAACAUAUAGUAGUCCCAAACCCGAGCCUUUAUCUUCAGUACACUGCCUUCUACAUCCUCUCUCCAACCCAUAUAGUACUUCCCUUCCUCUCAAAAGUUUAGGUGUUUCCCACAUCACUUGGAAGGCCUCUUAAGUCUUAAGUGACAAUUCUAAGGAUUCUGCACUCAUCAAUGCCAGUCUGAAAAAUAUGGUUGAAGAAGGUGUUAUUCAACUAUAGUUCACCUUGCACGCAAAUACAGAGUUCUCUGCUUUGUGUAUGGACCAAAUUUACAAUUUGGAUACCUCAAUUAACAAAGUUUUGCCUACUGCUUCAUACUAUGCAAACCCUUGGAGUACCUAAUGUGCAUUUCCCAAAUUACUUAUUGCAUGGUGUUUGCGGAUGAAGCCUUGGCUUGGUUUGUUGGCAAAAGUAGUUACUCUGCUCUUUAGAGAUUGAUGAAGAGAUAUCAGGCUUUUGAAUGGUGUAAUGAUACACAGAUAUCAUCUUUUUAAAUGGCGUAUUAAUAGACUGUAGGUGAACUUUGGUGGAGCAUUAUCAUGAGGAUAUCCCUAACUAAGGUUCCAGUUUUAUCUCGAGGAUUCUGGUUUUGCUAUAAUGAAUGCAAUGCCAUUUAAUUCCCAUAGUGAUCAUUUCAGUUUCCCUGCGGCACUAUAUUUGUUAGCCUAGUUUCAUCACUUUGGAUGCUAGAGAGACUGAAAACAUGAAUUGUUUGAAUUAUUAAAAUACAUUGUGUACUGGAGUGAGGAUGAAUGCAUUUUACUUUUUCAUUUGUUUGUGGUAAGGUUGAUCUUACUUGAGAUUAUUGCUUGUGAUAUGUGAUUCUGCCUGUGUGGCUGUGUGCUUCGGUGUCACGGUGAUAGUGGUAAACUACCAUAUCACUAAAUCUGCACAUUGGUUCCGAACUUUCCUUUUCUGGUAAUUAUUUUUGUAAUCUCUAUGCUAUCAGCCGUGGAAGCGCUUUAUACUUGUUGCAAGUUUAGUUGUAAAUAUAGUGCAAGUUUAGUUUCCCACAAGUAUUUUACAAAGAAAACAGUGAGGGUCGAUAUAUGUAGUUUCAUAAAACACUAAAUGGGGCUUUCUUGCCAGGUUGAGGUUUUAUCUUGUUAUUUACCGAUAGCUGUGUAUUCUUAAAACAGUACUGGGGGUGGAGCUACCAUGGCCAAAGGGGCCAUGACACCCCAACCUCUUCAGAAUUUUCUUUUACUCAAAUACCUCAAAUUUUUUUUAAAAUUCAUGCAAUAAUUCAUGAAAAUUUGGGAGCAUUACGCUGGCCUCUUAAUGUGAUAAUCUAGCUCCACCACUGUUGUACUCAUGGUUGUAGCGGAACUACAUGGAGGGACAACGUACUCAGUUUUUCUCAAGCAGUUUCAAUUUCACACAAUGCGGUAGCAAAUAGAUAAUGAAUUAAAAGUGAAGGUAGGGUGGUGCACCGUUCCAACAGCAGCUUAGCCUCUUAACAAACUGACUCCGGCGCAUAAUAUGAUGACUAUU
This 1566-nucleotide long non-coding RNA is filed under the name Rosa chinensis. RNAcentral's name for it is "sRNA RchiOBHm_Chr7g0215171". The record is from RNAcentral. Lineage: Eukaryota; Viridiplantae; Streptophyta; Magnoliopsida; Rosales; Rosaceae.